This 425-nucleotide ribosomal RNA is filed under the name uncultured bacterium. Its description in RNAcentral is "partial 16S ribosomal RNA". It matches the Rfam family "Bacterial small subunit ribosomal RNA", at positions 354 to 796 of the family's 1533-position model. The record is from RNAcentral.
GUGGGGAAUCUUGUGCAAUGGGCGAAAGCCUGACGCAGCCAUGCCGCGUGAAUGAUGAAGGUCUUAGGAUUGUAAAAUUCUUUCACCGGGGACGAUAAUGACGGUACCCGGAGAAGAAGCUCCGGCUAACUUCGUGCCAGCAGCCGCGGUAAUACGAAGGGGGCUAGCGUUGCUCGGAAUUACUGGGCGUAAAGGGCGCGUAGGCGGACAGCUUAGUCAGAGGUGAAAGCCCAGGGCUCAACCUUGGAAUUGCCUUUGAUACUGGCUGUCUUGAGUUUGGGAGAGGUGAGUGGAACUCCGAGUGUAGAGGUGAAAUUCGUAGAUAUUCGGAAGAACACCAGUGGCGAAGGCGACUCACUGGCCCAAUACUGACGCUGAGGCGCGAAAGCGUGGGGAGCAAACAGGAUUAGAAACCCUGGUAGUCC